UUGUGUUUCCCUCUUUUUUUUUUGGUUUUUAGAAGUUCAGUUCCAAGUAGUAAAGGUGGGAAGGACCACAUGUAUUCAUUAUCAACUCAUGUUGCUGGCUGCAUUCUCAUUCCUUUUAGCCUUGAAACCACAAGGCAUGUGUCAGUGAUCAAGAUAACUUUGUCCAAGGAGCUGGAUGCAUCCUCUGUUGGGAGGCAUAUGAAGUAGCCAAAACUCUUCCUAAAGACAGAGUGACUAGAGCAUCA
Molecule: long non-coding RNA, 245 nt
Organism: Magnolia sinica
Lineage: Eukaryota; Viridiplantae; Streptophyta; Magnoliopsida; Magnoliales; Magnoliaceae
Exons: 2
Source: RefSeq, a predicted model, not a curated record